GCAGUAUGUGGUGCAUGCCUGUAGUCCCAGCUACUCGGGAGGCUGAGGUGGGAAGAUUGCUCGAGUCCAGGAGUUCUGGGCUACAGUACACUAUACCAAUAGGAUGUCCACAUCACUAUGGUGACCUCCCAGGAGCGGGGGACCACCAGGUUGCCUAAAGAGGGGUGAACGGGCCUAGGUCAGAAACAGAGCAGGUCAAAACUCCUGUGCUGAUCACUCAAUAUGUAGCCCAGGUUGGCCACAAAUUUGUGGUGAUACUCCUGCCUU
Molecule: signal recognition particle RNA, 267 nt
Filed under: Chinchilla lanigera (long-tailed chinchilla)
Lineage: Eukaryota; Metazoa; Chordata; Mammalia; Rodentia; Chinchillidae
Description: Metazoan signal recognition particle RNA (ENSCLAG00000022027.1)
Rfam family: Metazoan signal recognition particle RNA
About the family: The signal recognition particle (SRP) is a universally conserved ribonucleoprotein. It is involved in the co-translational targeting of proteins to membranes.
Source: RNAcentral